This 82-nucleotide transfer RNA is filed under the name Chloroflexota bacterium. RNAcentral's name for it is "tRNA-Leu". It matches the Rfam family "tRNA". Rfam says of the family: Transfer RNA (tRNA) molecules are approximately 80 nucleotides in length. Their secondary structure includes four short double-helical elements and three loops (D, anti-codon, and T loops). Lineage: Bacteria; Bacillati; Chloroflexota. RNAcentral also lists the same sequence under 1 other name. The record is from RNAcentral.
GGGGAAGUGUCGGAAUUGGUAGACGAGCAUGAUUUAGGAUCAUGUGCCCUAGGGCGUGGGAGUUCGAGUCUCCCCUUCCCCA